RNAcentral lists this ribosomal RNA (428 nucleotides) under uncultured bacterium. RNAcentral's name for it is "bacterial SSU rRNA". It matches the Rfam family "Bacterial small subunit ribosomal RNA", at positions 354 to 796 of the family's 1533-position model. The record is from RNAcentral.
GUGGGGAAUAUUGGACAAUGGACCAAAAGUCUGAUCCAGCAAUUCUGUGUGCACGAUGACGUUUUUCGGAAUGUAAAGUGCUUUCAGUUGGGAAGAAAAAAAUGACGGUACCAACAGAAGAAGUGACGGCUAAAUACGUGCCAGCAGCCGCGGUAAUACGUAUGUCACAAGCGUUAUCCGGAUUUAUUGGGCGUAAAGCGCGUCUAGGUGGUUAUGUAAGUCUGAUGUGAAAAUGCAGGGCUCAACUCUGUAUUGCGUUGGAAACUGCAUGACUAGAGUACUGGAGAGGUAAGCGGAACUACAAGUGUAGAGGUGAAAUUCGUAGAUAUUUGUAGGAAUGCCGAUGGGGAAGCCAGCUUACUGGACAGAUACUGACGCUAAAGCGCGAAAGCGUGGGUAGCAAACAGGAUUAGAAACCCUAGUAGUCC